CACGUAGGGACCAAGCGUUGUCCGGAUUCAUUGGGCGUAAAGAGCUCGUAGGCGGUUCGAUAAGUCGGGUGUGAAACCUCCAGGCUCAACCUGGAGACGCCACCCGAUACUGUCGUGACUAGAGUCCAGUAGGGGAGCGUGGAAUUCCUGGUGUAGCGGUGAAAUGCGCAGAUAUCAGGAGGAACACCAGCGGCGAAGGCGGCGCUCUGGGCUGGAACUGACGCUGAGGCGCGAAAGCGUGGGGAGCGAACAGG
This 254-nucleotide ribosomal RNA is filed under the name uncultured bacterium. RNAcentral describes it as "partial 16S ribosomal RNA". It matches the Rfam family "Bacterial small subunit ribosomal RNA", at positions 524 to 776 of the family's 1533-position model. The record is from RNAcentral.